CGUAGGGUGCAGGCGUUAAUCGGAAUUACUGGGCGUAAAGCGUGCGCAGGCGGUCUACUAAGACAGGUGUGAAAUCCCCGGGCUUAACCUGGGAACUGCGCUUGUAACUGGUAGGCUUGAGUGUGGCAGAGGGGGUGGAAUUCCACGUGUAGCAGUGAAAUGCGUAGAGAUGUGGAGGAACACCGAUGGCGAAGGCAGCCCCCUGGGCUAACACUGACGCUCAUGCACGAAAGCGUGGGGAGCAAACAGGAUUAGAUACCCUGGUAGUCCACGCCCUAAACUAUGUCAACUGGUUGUCGGGGAAGCAAUUCCUUGGUAACGAAGCUAACGCGUGAAGUUGACCGCCUGGGGAGUACGGCCGCAAGGUUA
This 369-nucleotide ribosomal RNA is filed under the name uncultured organism. RNAcentral's name for it is "bacterial SSU rRNA". It matches the Rfam family "Bacterial small subunit ribosomal RNA", at positions 526 to 896 of the family's 1533-position model. The record is from RNAcentral.